UUCCUGUUCUUUAUCUUCUGUCGAGCGCGGUUUUCUUGCAGCAGUGAAUCCAUCACUCGACUUAAACAUACUUUUUAAUGAAAUGAUUUUAGGCUUGUCUAGAGGCUAAAUAAGUCCUAGUUUAUCUCUGUCCUGUCCUUGCUUUCUAUCGUUGUUUCAGAGACAAAAGGCAGCGUGAGUGGCUUGUGUUUUUUUUUUUUUUUUAAUCUAAACUUAGGACUAUACAUUUUUCAGGACAUCCUGUGAAAUUGUAAGACAUUGUGCGAGGAAAGAUUUUGUGGUGGUGGGCGGUGGGGGGGAGCAAUUCUUUGUUAUUUGUAAGAUAGGAAUGUUCAUCUUGACUGCUUUAAAUCGAAUUUAAGGUGUGUAGGGAAGGGCCGCUGAGUGUGGGGCCGGAGGAAGUCCGUAAACGACUCACCACAUCUUCCCCUUCCUGAGCGGUGGGCUUAGUCCUGGCGCAGAGGAGCAGCUAUGAUCCUUUCAAUGUAUCAGGUUAGAACCGUGAGAGUCGUCUUCUUGUUUUGCAACCUGACAUGAAGGAAGCCCUUUGGCCGUGGACAGACACCCGUGGAACAGGGGCAAAAGGACUGAAGGACAGGUCAUCUUCCCCAGAAAGCUCGGCUCUCUGAAGUCACCCUGCUUGCCUGUCUUUCCUCCAAAGCCAGGCAUGUCGCUGUGGCUCUUUGGCCCUCUCUGCCUAAGGAACGGUCCCCUCUCUUACAAACAGGCAUUUCGUCCUCUCUCCUGGCUUUCAGAUUACGGGACAAAGUAAUUUUUGGUGGCAGUCUUUUGGAAAAGUGAUUUUUGAAAACUUGUAAUUGCCCACCAAAAUGUAUUUUAUUUUUUUAUUAUUUAUUUAUUAUUUAUUUUAUUAUUAUUUUAUUUUUUAUUAUUUUAUUUUUUUAAACAUUUCAUUUAUUUACACGAGAGAGCGAGCACAGAGGGAAGAGGGCGAAGGAGGCUGUCCGCUGAGCAGAGAACCUGAUGUGGGGACUUGAUCCCAGGACCCCAGGAUCCCACCCUGAGCCCAAGGCAGAUACUGUACCACUUGUUCCAGUGCACUUUGAACACGUGGUAACUGGUAGAGUAACUCCCCAUUUGUUUACUAAUUCAGGGACGGAUUAGGAGAUACAUUUGAAAAUACAUUUAAAUACAUUCAAAAGGUGACCUGUUUACAACAUACCAACCUCUGGUUUUACUUUGCACCAAAUCCAGACAUGAUUCUUGCUUUAUAUAAAUCUGGAGAUGAUAAACGUGACUAAAUCAGAUUAUUGACACCUUUUAGAUGAUUUUUAAAACCAGGAGCUGUCGUUUUGUAUUGCAUUAGGUUUAUAGGUCCAUGAAGCAGACGAGAGAGAAGUCCUCACGUGAAGAAAUUGCUCGUUGCCCUGAAGUGCGUUUUGUAUGGACAAAGGAGAGGCUCAGAUCAUUGGUUCAGGAGCCGUUUUUAGUGGCUGUCCCUAUACUGAAAGGACAUUUCAAGGGCAAGAAUGUAUACUUUUGUUAUUGAAUGCUUUCAGGCUGCAAGAUUAUGUAGAUUCAGUUCCUUGAGGGCCAGACUGGGGGUGAUGGGGAGGGAAGUAAGACCAUUUGCCCCACUACAUCGCCAUUCGUUCCCUUUGCCAGCCACUGCCCAGUGGGUCACACACACCCGGCAGUCUUUUUUGGGGGGGCAGGGAUAGAAAAUGACAUGGUGGGGUGAGCAAGUAAUCACACUGGGUCGGGUUCUUAAAAUAACUGAAAAAUGGUAGUCAGAAGAGCUGGUCAAGGGUGAAACCUGAGUGAUGUGUACUUCUAAUGACCACGUAACGGCCAGGGCGGAGAAUCAAAGGAAGGUGCUCGCCUAAUGUGCACAACCUUAAGAAAAGCUUCGUAUCCGGACAAAGUAGGACUGGGAUAGAGAUUAUGGGUUUUCUCUAAAUGCAGCAUACAAGCGAACUUGCAGAUAGCAUUGAGUCAUUUCUGUUUUUCAGGGAAAAAAACCACUUUCUGAUUUUCUAUGAAAUUUUGUGAGAGACCACUUUUCAGCCAUGACUCAUGACAUCCGUUUCAUCGCAGCAAGUUAGGAAUUUAUUCCCAAAUGUCUGACGACACCUCUCGGGAAAGCAAUAUACCCUUUCUUUGCAAGUCAGUAUUUAUACAUGGGGUGACUAACGGACCGGUACGUUGGACUUAGCAAUUAACAGACCAGAAAUAACCCGAAUUUUUUUCCCCCUCUGGCUUGCAGUUCAUCGUUUGCGCUGUUCGUUAUGCCACUUAGGGGGAGCACGUCAAAGAAUGCUCCUUUGCCCUCCUGGUCACGGUUUCCUUAAACCUUCCAAUUUUGAGCCACUCAGGCAUGAGGGGGAAAGUGGACAUUAGCAAGCAAUACGUGAGAAAAUCCAUAUAAAAACACAAGCGAGAGGUUAUUGAAUACAAAUUGAGUCUUCUCUAAUGAGACGUUUCUCUGAUGUGUACGUGAUGGCAUCAGAGCCAAAACUUCUUACUGAGAUACUGAGGUUUAUGUAGGCACCUCUUAGCAUGUUGGCUGUCGUUCAGGAAUUUUCUGAAAGAGGAAGCUUACUUAUUAAGUGAAGAAUGAUGUGUCCUUUGAAGCAGGCACGGCAAGAAAGUCAGUCUGCCAUCCUGGGAACAGUCUCUAAAAUGCGACCAGCCGGUCACAUUUCCAACCGCAUUUGAACCUGCUACCUCUCUGAAGGCCUGAGGGUCAGACGUCAGCCCCUUAGGGUGGCAGGAGCUGUGUGCCCUGGUUUUUAAAAACAAAUCUGCUAUAAAAUGCUUUGAAUGAAAGAGGUUUUAGGAGCUUUGUGGCAGUGAUCUAACCACCCCCCAAAUCUAUCCAUCCACGGUCAUAGCGUGUAACUUAGUGGACAAGAGGCAGGGCCCCCGGGAAUUUGCAAACUUCUUCUGUGCUAGACAACCCUCAUUCCUGCCUAAGGCCGUGGGGCGCACUUCGGCGCCUGAGAUGAGUGCAGGGCUGGCGGGGACCAGCAGGAAGGGAAGUAACUUUGUACCCAGUGACUUGUGUGAUGCCUGUGUGAUGACUGAUGAGGCGCCCUUUCCCAGGUAACAGCCGCAGGUCAGGGGAAGCAGAUCUGGAAGUUUUGGAAGGUUAGAAGGCGACCCGGGUAGGGAGAUAAGGGAAAAAAAAAAAAGUACCCCCAAGAGAUAAACGCUUUAAGUAUAUGUUAAUUUAGUAAGAUUAAAGGGAACCUCCAAGACAGGUGAAAUGCUAUCUUCAUUUUUGUCCAUUCUCUGAUUUCUAACAAAGGGGAAACAGGGAGGCACAAACUGUCUCCUCGUGAAGUCAGAAUUUCACUGUGGCUCGUUUUCGGGGAGCCCACGCACCAGAGCGCUGGCUGUCUUUUGGGAACCUCUGUGUGUCCCAGCUCUGUUCUCCCCGAGCUAUUAGUGGCUCCAAAGACAAGCAGUAACAGACUCUUCUGCCCUCAUACCCGUUCAUGCUUCCUGCACAGUUUUGACACGGGGACUAUCUCAUCAGCAGGAACGUACCCCUCCGGCUUCCUCCUAAGCACGCUGCCGUGAAGGCUUGAAACACUUUGGGACCCAAUAAUCCUGGUUUAGAAAAACACGGGGUAAACUAAUUCAGGUUACCCAGAGUUCGACUUCAUUGGAAUCAUUGCAAAAAAAGUACUAAAGUUCAUGAAUUUGACAUCAGCAUUGUUAACAUGCCUCAAGUGUUUCCAGCCUGUUUACUUAUUAGGCAAUAAAAGCUAACGUUCCUA
Lutra lutra (Eurasian river otter) is the source of this 3746-nucleotide long non-coding RNA. RefSeq lists it as uncharacterized. The transcript has 2 exons. Lineage: Eukaryota; Metazoa; Chordata; Mammalia; Carnivora; Mustelidae. The record is from RefSeq and is a predicted model, not a curated record.